GACCUGACCUACAUGCCGAAAUCGAGAUCGCGUGUAGAUCAGAGUUGGGUGUGUGUAAGCAGUGCGUUUAUGAAUGAAAUUGGAAAGUUUUGCACGUGCUCUGCAAAAGUCACAUGCGGGAUUACUGAUUUGGAUUUGCCUUGAAUUGCAGGAACGGACGUAUUGCAUGGAGAGGCGUUGGGGGUAUUGUCCGGGGAGCGGGAAUUGGGGAGUGCACGGUGUACAUCAUCGCCAUCUUAUCCGGGCAAGGUGGCGGCAGUAAAUGCAUUUGGCUGGCAAUCCUUUAGAUUAGGGAUUGUGUCGCACUCUAACAUAAGGAUUCUUGGCCUUUUGGAGUAUCCAACCCGUUUGUGCGUUCAUACUUCUAGCGGUCGCUUUUCUCUUCACCACUGUCUCAAAAUAAUGCUGAUGUUAAAUUUUGAUAAGUUUUUAUUUUAUUUUAUUCACCGCGUACAUAUGAAUGUCGAUCAUAUUUACCGUACCCAAAGACACAUUGUAAUACAUGUACAAACCUGUACCUUUUUUAUACAGAAAAAGCAAUUUAAAUAAGACAUUAACAAACUGCGUAUUUAUAUAAUUUUAUUAUACUACGAUUUCUUUUUAAGAAAUCAUUAUAACCAUUCCGUUAAUGCCAUUGUAUUAAACCAUGUAGGCAAUUAUUAGUCGGCAUAAUAUAUUGAAUUAUCUCGUCCAAUCGAACUAUGUAAGCUGCUUACGGACGCCUUGCCGACUGAAAUGCAUGACAUUUUUUGGAAUAAUUACAGUUGUAGAGGCAUUUACAGGUAUAACCUACAUUUCUGUAUUCGCUAUACCUUAUGAAUGCACUUACUUAUUACUUACCUUACUCCCUAAGGUGGUGCAGUCACGUUAUCGUACACAGGUAAUGGCUAUGUGGGGGUAUGUUUAGCGAGUUUUCCAUGUGCACGUGGAUGUUAACGUGAGCGCGAAUAUGAGCGUGAUCCGCGAAUACGACUUAUUUAAGACGAGCCUGCGAGUUCGCUUCUUGUGAAUUUAUUAAGUGUGUUGUUUCUGAAUUAAAAAAACGAAUAGCAUCUAAGAAAUUAUUAAUUGUGUUGUCAUUGUAAUAAAGCAAAGAUGAAGGCGUAAAAUAA
This is a long non-coding RNA of Dreissena polymorpha, 1112 nucleotides long. RefSeq lists it as uncharacterized. NCBI's taxonomy places the organism in Eukaryota, Metazoa, Mollusca, Bivalvia, Myida, Dreissenidae. The transcript is spliced from 2 exons. The record is from RefSeq and is a predicted model, not a curated record.